Molecule: long non-coding RNA, 1596 nt
Filed under: Nicotiana tabacum (common tobacco)
Lineage: Eukaryota; Viridiplantae; Streptophyta; Magnoliopsida; Solanales; Solanaceae
Description: long non-coding RNA (NTAB_LNC017261)
Source: RNAcentral
UUGGGUUCUCUUGAGGAGAAGCCAUUUCCACAAGCACCAAGGUGGCUUGCAUGAGACGUGGAGAAUGAGUCACAUUUAUUACUUGAUUUCUUCAAGAAAAUGUGUCUGGACAAUCCCAGAUUAAAUCCCUAUUUUUUGGUCCUCUCUUGUUGCUUUCUAGUUGGUAAAAUUACAUAACCUAGAUGAGAUUAUUUAAGAACUUGGUUUAUCUGAGUCAAACCUUGUAUUCACGUUGACUAAAUCACCUGCAACCGGAUCAUAGAGAUGACAGAUAGAGGGUUUGCAGACAAGGGCAUGCUGAUUAGUUUGCUCUUUUCUUUUAAUUUUUUAACUAAGCAAACAAAUCAGAUAGGCUUAGGAUGACUAAAUUACCCCCUCACUAGUUAGAAAUUUCAAGGGCAAAAAAAAAAGAAAAAAACCUCCCAAAUGCCACACAUCCUAUAAGCACUAGAAGGCAAAAACCUCAGCUAAAAACACAAACAACAAGCUCCAUAUGAAACAAGGUGUACACAUUGUUGGACAUCGGUCAACCUGGUUAGGCAAAGAGCCAAGCAUUGCCUCAAGGUGCACCACUGGAGAUAUGGAUGUUUCCACUAGAAUCCGCAUUCCUAUCAGAUGCAAGUAGAAGUUAUCUUUAUAUCCUUCACGCAUAUGACAUUAUUUUUCCCAUUAAUUCUUGGUGUGUGUCAACAACUGCAAUGAAAAGAAAGAAGUUUCUUCACCAUUAUCAUAGCAAAAAUAAAAGCAAUUAGUUACACUUGUGAUCUUUUAGCAUUACUUGUCAAUUAAGUUGCAGGGGAACUUGAAACAUUCAACUUUUAGCUGGUUUUAAAACCGAGUUUGAGUUAUAGUAUAAUAGCAGGGGUGCAUGAACACAUGAUUUCAUCUUGAAAAUAGAAAUUUUUGGGACUUGUGCUUUAAAAUCUCUCUCUGAUGGUUAAAGAAGCUUACUUCACCUUUUUCUGGGAUGAUUGCUUAGUAUUAUGCAGAGAAGCAAGCACUUGGAGUUGUAGACCAGGAGCUCCUCGACACUCAGGUGAACCCUGCUGUGUGGGAAAUUAGUGGACAUAUGGUGCUUAAGCGAAGAAAAGAUUACAAUGAUGCAUCAGAGGAAUAUGCAUGGAAACUUCUUUCUGAAGUUUCUUUAUCGGAGGAGAGAUUUGAAGAGGUGAAGGGUUAUAUUUCUGAAGCAGCUGAUUUGCAAGAAGCGGGGGAUAAAAGCAUCAAUCCAGAACCAGAGAAGGAAAUUCCAGAUUCUCCUGGUCCUCAAGUUGCCUCACAUAUGCCUCAAGAUUGUUUGGUAUUACACUGAGGAAGUUGUGGCCUGCCCGCUCUUGCAGGAUUUAAUAAAGGUUGAAGUAUCUAGUAUUUUUGUGUGCUACUUUUUGCACGUCUUGUUCAAUGCGUAUUGUUGUAGCAGUUGGGAGUUGGUAAUCCCCAAAUAGUGUUUUGUACAUAUGCUUUGUUUUUAAUGCCUGCGAGCUCUAGCCUUUGGCUGGGUUGUUUAAUAAAUACUACAGUACUUUUUUGUUGGUGAUUAACUGAUUAAUAACACCACUUGCCCCAGUUCUUGUUACAGCUUAAUUGUGUUUCUAG